AUGAUCACAGAGUCGUUGUUCAAAUGGAAAUAGAAUCUUAAGAGCGAUUUCUGAUGCUGUGAUCCAUAAAGGUAGUUGAUCAAAUCUGGAGGCAACUCAUCGAUCAUGAAGUUAGGGCCGGGCAACAUCAAUUCAGAGUCAUCAUAUUCAUUGACAUGCUUCAAAAGCAUGUCGACAAGGUUCAAAUUUUUCUGAUGAAGCAUGUUAAGAUAAUUUUUUAGUUGUUCCAUCGUACUAGCAAUAUCAGUAUUAGCUAGUUGUGGCGAAUCUACUUCAAUAAUUACUGAAUUUUCAUCUUGGAAUUCACAAAAUCCAAUUUCUUCUACAGAAGAAAAGGAAGAACGAAAAAUAAUAAGGGAGUAAAUCAAACCUGCUCCAAUAAUGAAUAACUGGAAUUUAAUCUUCAUGAGUAACACAGUUAGACAUCCAAGAAAAAAGUAAAGAAGAUCCACUUCGAAUCCACAAUGAGAUUGCCUCGACAAACUCAGUGACAUGAUAGCAAAGGCAGCACAAGAAAUGAGGC
Molecule: long non-coding RNA, 523 nt
Filed under: Medicago truncatula (barrel medic)
Lineage: Eukaryota; Viridiplantae; Streptophyta; Magnoliopsida; Fabales; Fabaceae
Description: long non-coding RNA (MTRU_LNC003684)
Source: RNAcentral